UACGGAGGGUGCAAGCGUUAAUCGGAAUUACUGGGCGUAAAGCGUGCGCAGGCGGUUCGUUGUGUCGGCGGUGAAAGCCCCGGGCUCAACCUGGGAAUGGCCGUUGAAACUGGCGAACUGGAGUGUGGCAGAGGGGGGUGGAAUUCCGCGUGUAGCAGUGAAAUGCGUAGAGAUGCGGAGGAACACCGAUGGCGAAGGCAGCCCCCUGGGCUGACACUGACGCUCAGGCACGAAAGCGUGGGGAGCAAACAGG
This 253-nucleotide ribosomal RNA is filed under the name uncultured bacterium. RNAcentral describes it as "partial 16S ribosomal RNA". It matches the Rfam family "Bacterial small subunit ribosomal RNA", at positions 524 to 776 of the family's 1533-position model. The record is from RNAcentral.